GUCUUGCUCUGUCACCAGGCUAGAGUGCAAUGGUGCAAUCUUGGCUCACUGCAACCUCCAGCUACCAGGUUCAAGCGAUCCUCCUGCCUCAGUCUCCUGCGUAGCUGGGACUACAGGCUUCCCUCUUCCCAGAGCAAGACAGAACUGUUUCUACUGAAUCAUCACAUGGUUUGAGAUUCAUCCCCAAAGCAAAGCAAUCCCUGGUGACUUGGGAGGAGAGGUGCAGGGAUGAGGAGCUAGUUCCAGAAACUGGAAUUCACAGAGAAAAGUAAGCAGCGGAGACAGCAAUAUGUCAAAUGGAAACAGGAAGGGAGACAGGCCCUUGCCUCUGAUCACCCCUCAAUGAUUCAGGCUAAGUCCAGAGGCUG
This 368-nucleotide long non-coding RNA is filed under the name Callithrix jacchus (white-tufted-ear marmoset). Its description in RNAcentral is "lncRNA (ENSCJAG00000069847.1)". Lineage: Eukaryota; Metazoa; Chordata; Mammalia; Primates; Cebidae. The record is from RNAcentral.